GGACUACUCGGGUAUCUAAUCCUGUUUGCUCCCCACGCUUUCGCGCCUCAGCGUCAGUCUCGGUCCAGAGCGCCGCCUUCGCCACCGGUGUUCUUCCCAAUAUCUACGAAUUUCACCUCUACACUGGGAAUUCCACGCUCCUCUCCCGAUCUCAAGCGCAAGAGUCCCAGGCGCCAUUCCCAGGUUGAGCCCGGGGCUUUCACGCCUGACUUCCUGCGCCGCCUGCGCGCCCUUUACGCCCAGUAAAUCCGAACAACGCUCGCCCCCUUCGUAUUACCGCGGCUGCUGGCAC
RNAcentral lists this ribosomal RNA (292 nucleotides) under uncultured bacterium. RNAcentral describes it as "partial 16S ribosomal RNA". The record is from RNAcentral.